Molecule: RNA transcript, 1777 nt
Organism: Harpegnathos saltator (Jerdon's jumping ant)
Lineage: Eukaryota; Metazoa; Arthropoda; Insecta; Hymenoptera; Formicidae
Exons: 2
Source: RefSeq, a predicted model, not a curated record
UUCGUUGGUGAGAACUUGCGCUUUCGAUGGAUAUUAUGAUCAAUCUUUUGUAAGAUGUUCAUUGACAAUGGACAAAUUAGUUACCAAACAGUGAAAAAGUGAGGAUAGCAUCAGAGCUAACGAUCUAAACGAUUAGCAAUUUUCAUUGAUAUUGGUAAGGCCAGACAAAACGUUCGACUGAAAGGGAAAUAUCACUCUAAAUAUAAAUAUUGGAAUUAUUACUCGGGACUUUUUUGUACGAACGAAUAUGAAAAUUAACCGCGACGUAGGCAUCGGCGUGGGCAAACAAUUGAGGAUUCCUCGACGUUCACGAGUACCUGUAGAAUCCUCGCUAGUGCGAACAUGAAAGAUAGAGAAUGGAAAAGCGCGAAGGGACACUGGAACACUCCCGGUGAGGUCUACUAAUGAGAACCUCCGUAGGACAUUCGUCUUUCAUGCCGGACACGUUGACACAUUUCUGCCUCUCGGCCGGAAUGGAACAAGACGCACAACUGGCCAAGCAUCUGCCACGCGACAGUCGCUGUCUCCUCACUUCCGAAACAAGCGCUUUAGCCAGUUGACGCGUGAUAUUCCGGUGCAGUAUUCGCUUGUCUUAUUCGGUAAUUUAUGUGUUUCCUUAUCGCCAGCGUUGAGAUGAAUUCCGUGGCAAUUACUGAGCAAUAACACCUUCUAACGUUUAAGCAAUUGUCCCGUCAGUUAACUUGAAUAUCGAUACGAUUGAUUUCACUUUUUAACGAUUUGUAAUUAUAAUCUGCAAGUUAAAACUUCACGAAUGCUGCGCUUUCUAAAUACUCUCUGACAAAGUGGAAGGUAUUUGUAGAUUUAUACGACUGUGUUUGAACUGUGUUACUUACUUAAAAUACGUGAAAAUUAAAUUAAUUCGUGCUGUUGUCAAAGACAUGGCACGCGCGCCAGCACCGUCGGCUAAAGACAAUACAGGAUUAUUCCCGGGCAAAAGAUGUCCUAGCCGAGAUAUAAUUUCUCUUUAUUGGAUGCAACGCGUCGUUCCCGGGAGAAUGAAAGUAAGGAAAUAAAGCCAAAAUUCUUUUGAUAUCGGAGCAUAUCGCAAGUAGAAAGAUAAACGCGGGACAAAGGGGUAAGUUUUCUGGUGAAAUGUCUCACCCUUGAACUAAACUGGCGAGCAGUAUUAGCCAGCGGCAUCUUGAUAUCAUCCGCGGAGAACUUGCCAACUCCUUUAUACAGACAUUUAUUUCCAAGGCAUAUCUGUUACAGCCAAGUGGCGGUCUCGCAGAUUGUACUACUUUGCUUUGCGCCGACCCAUUCUGCCUCCCCUCCUCCACCGAGGGACUUGGAAGAACCAAGGAAAACAUAAUCUAAAAUGGAAGAGGUAGCCGUACAUUGUCCUAAAGCGCCCUCUAGUUCCUCUGGCGACCUCUCCGGCUUUAUGCCAGCGAGAACAGCCAACUAUACGCCACGCAAGAAAACACAAACUUUAUACGUUACGGUGAAACUACCGCAUCGAGGGGAACAAAAGACCCGCGCGGAGACAUUACGAAAGAGGAAAAUACGUGGCGGCGAGCUGCUGCAAGGGCUCAUAAAGAGGGAACAUGGAGUGCCAGUAUAACGUCGAGGACAACGUUUACACGAACGCCUUCCUCGCCAUUUUUUCCUUAAAUCGUUUCGUCAGCUAACUUUUAUAAUGUCUUAACGCUAAUUCUCGCGAUAACAAAAUACGCACAAAAUGUUUCAAAGCGUAGUGGUUGUACUAUAUUAGCAACAUGACGUCCUACAUUACCGAUCUUAAUAAAGGAGGAAU